GAUCUCAGAUCAGGCGAAGCUACGCGCUGAACUUAAGCAUAUCAAUAAGCGCAGGAAAAGAAACUAACUAGGAUUCCCUCAGUAACGGCGAGUGAAGCGGGAAAAGCUCAACUUUAAAAUCUGGGCGCAAGCUCCGAAUUGUAGUUUAGAGAGGCGUUUUCGGCGACGGCUCCGGUAUAAAUCCUUUGGAACAGGGUAUCAUAGAGGGUGAGAAUCCCGUCUUUGACCGGAGAGUAUAAAUGUUGCUAUGUGAUACGCUUUCGACGAGUCGGGUUGUUUGGGACUACAGCCCAAAAUGGGUGGUAAAUUUCAUCUAAAGCUAAAUAUUGAAGCGAGACCGAUAGCGAACAAGUACCGUGAGGGACAGAUGAAAAGAACUUUGAAAAGAGAGUAAAAUAGUACGUGAAAUUGUUAAAAGGGAAAUGC
RNAcentral lists this ribosomal RNA (426 nucleotides) under uncultured fungus. RNAcentral's name for it is "eukaryotic LSU rRNA". It matches the Rfam family "Eukaryotic large subunit ribosomal RNA", at positions 1 to 422 of the family's 3401-position model. The record is from RNAcentral. Lineage: Eukaryota; Fungi.